GAUCAUGGCUCAGGAUGAACGCUAGCGGCAGGCCUAAUACAUGCAAGUCGAACGGAUAUAUGUUUUUCGGAAUAUAUAUUAGUGGCGCACGGGUGAGUAACACGUACAUAACUUGCCCUCAAGCGGGGGAUAGCCUUGGGAAACUGAGAGUAAUACCCCAUAGAAUUAUUGGACGGCAUCGUUUGAUAAUUAAAACUACGGUGUUUGGGGAUAGAUGUGCGUCUGAUUAGCUAGUUGGUGAGGUAAAGGCUCACCAAGGCGACGAUCUGUAGCGGGUCUGAGAGGAUGAUCCGCCACACUGGAACUGAGACACGGUCCAGACUCCUACGGGAGGCAGCAGUGGGGAAUUUUGGACAAUGGGCGCAAGCCUGAUCCAGCCAUGCCGCGUGAGUGAAGAAGGCCUUCGGGUUGUAAAGCUCUUUCGGCCGGGAAGAAAUCGCACAGGUUAAUACCCUGUGUGGAUGACGGUACCGGAAUAAGAAGCACCGGCUAACUACGUG
This 500-nucleotide ribosomal RNA is filed under the name uncultured bacterium. RNAcentral describes it as "bacterial SSU rRNA". It matches the Rfam family "Bacterial small subunit ribosomal RNA", at positions 15 to 507 of the family's 1533-position model. The record is from RNAcentral.